CAUUUUUACAUAAUAGCAGUGAAGGGCUGUCCCUUUGUCUACCUGAGGAACUGUAUAUUUUGUCCGCUUUCAUUGUCUGUCAUGUUCAUAGUGUAGUCUGAUCUAUGUACAUAAUGCAUGCAGUACAUACCUGCGAAGUUCGUUCGUGAGCUGAGCCUGGGCCUGCCUGUGAUUUGAAUUGGAUUGGGGAACUCAUUGGCAUCAGUCCUGGGGGUCCAGUAAAGAGUGGAGGAAAGAAGAAGAAGAAAUCGGCCGUGUCUCCAAAGAUAAUUGCCCUCCUUCGUGGAAUCGUAGAGUUCGAAUCUGACUGGAAAACAGAGUAGCAGACAUCCAGCUCUCAUUUUUUAUGCUUCUGUCAAUUUGUUUUGAGAUGUGCUUUAUUAUGCACGAUUUUUAUUGUGACGAAUACAUGGAUGAGACAAUGUGAUGUAAGAAACCUGUAAAUUUCUAUUAUUUGUGCCUCAUCUUGAAAGCCUUUUCUCAACAUCCCCAACAUAAUGCAAAUAAAUAUAUAUAAGUAUUAGUAUAGUAUAGGAUGUAUGCAUCCAGAUGUGAAAGGCUUUGAUUUUUGGAAAGAGCCAAGAUAGUCCUUGCCAAGGAACAAAGUGAGUUUUUUAGAUUUUGUUGGUAAUGUAAGAAAACCUCAGCAGGUCCUAUUUAUAAUUUUAUACCUAUAUAAUUUGUAUAUUUGUUCUUUUGAAGGUUGUUUAUAGUGUUUUCUUGAUGAUAUAUGCUACAGUAUGCAAACAUUAUACCAUGUUGGUGUUUACCCUGGUCAACUUUAUAUACAGGGUGUCCCAUGAACAAUGCCUGACACACUUCUGAUAGCACACAGAUCAACUUAUUAAUACCAUUGGUAAGAGCAACAUUUCCUUAAGGCCCUGUCACAUUAGGCUUGCAUGUGACUUGCAAGGAAAUUUGUUUUGCUACCCAGGGGUCUGCGAUACUGCGAUACAACAAUAUUACAUUUUGAAAUAGUUGAGAAGAGGAUCGGUUGAAAAAUACAAAUUUUUGAGGUGCUGAGUAUGUACUAAUUUGUGUUUUCAAAGGUUGGCAGCUAUGCUAUGUACAUCAUCUUCAUCUUUUAUUGGAAACAUGUACAUAUUUUUCAUUGAGGCAAGUGGGUAUUUUGAGAACAAAAAUAGACAUUUGUAUGCUGUUUAGGAAAAUAAUGUACAUUAUGCCAUCUUCAAUCAUGAGAACUGAUGGCCAUAUUAAUUUGAUAUUCUUGGCCCGAACUCACAAAGGAGGCUUAAAGGAGAAUAAAAGUUAGACAGUCACAUGAUUUCAGUGAAUGGAGAAGAACAACAAGACUUAACAGUAAAAGUUUGAGCAAAUUUGGAUAAUCCGUUUUCGAGUUAUGUAUUUUUGAAGUUUUAGAAAAUCCUUAUUAUGGACUUCCUUAAGUUGGCAACUUCGCCAGAAUUUGUGAUGUCAUUGUGCUCAACUCUCCAUUGGUUAUGUACAGAGAGUUUCACUUUUUUCUAAUUUUCAUCAAAAAUAAUAUUUCCGCCAGUGUAUUUUGUUUUUGUAUGACAUGGCUACAUCAAUUCUGCAGUAUGUCUGAAAGAAUCAAUACAAUUGCCCUUUUAAUAUUUUAUAAAAAUAAAAUGUUGUGAAACUCUCUGUACAUAACCAAUGGAGAGUUGAGCACAAUGACAUCACAAAUUCUAGCGGAAUUGCCAACUUAAGGAAGUCCAUAAUAAGGAUUUUUUAAAACUUCAAAAAUCCAUAACCCAAAAAAGGAUUAUCCAAAUUUGCUCAAACUUUUACCAUUAAGUCUCAUUGGUAUUCUCCAUUCACUGAAAUCAUGUAAAUGUCUGACUUUCAUUCUCCUUUAAACUCUGUGGGGGGUUAAAUCAUGGUCUAUGUAGAUUUUGUGUAUAAUUUGCGCUUAAUUUAGCGUGUAUGCUGAGAAAGGUCCAAUAUGAAGGCACGCUGUAUGGCAAAGGGCGCUCAAUUCAUGCUUGUUGCUAUGAUUUUAAACCAUAGCUUUAAACCAUGGCAAAAAUCAUGAAUUUCUAGUACUUUGCCAAAAGCGUGCAUUUAUACUGGAUCUUUGUCAGCUAAUCAUACACAAAAUCUGCAUAAACCAUGAGAGAGAGAGGG
RNAcentral lists this long non-coding RNA (2109 nucleotides) under Strongylocentrotus purpuratus (purple sea urchin). Its description in RNAcentral is "uncharacterized LOC115920204". Lineage: Eukaryota; Metazoa; Echinodermata; Echinoidea; Camarodonta; Strongylocentrotidae. The record is from RNAcentral.